CUGGCUUAGAAAUAAGUUGGGCCAGAGGUUAACCAAACUUCAAUUUUAUUAUUGAAUUGUUAUUUUAUUUAAUUUGUCAAUUUGUUGAUUAAAUUCAAAAAAUCUUCAAAACUUUCAACAACGGAUCUCUUGGUUCUCGCAUCGAUGAAGAACGCAGCGAAAUGCGAUAAGUAAUAUGAAUUGCAGAUUUUCGUGAAUCAUCGAAUCUUUGAACGCACAUUGCGCCCUUUGGUAUUCCAGAGGGCAUGCCUGUUUGAGCGUCAUUUCUCUCUCAAGCCCUCGGGUUUGGUAUUGAGUGAUACUCUUAGUCAGACUAGGCGUUUGCUUGAAAAGUAUCGGCAUGAGUAGUACUAGAUAGUGCUUUCAGGAUAUUUCAAUGUAUUAGGUUUAUCCAACUCGUUGAGAAUUCUUGGUAGUGAAUUUUUAGUAUCAUGGCUCUGCCUUACAAAACAACAAACAAGUUUGACCUCAAAUCAGGUAGGAUU
Molecule: ribosomal RNA, 485 nt
Filed under: Scheffersomyces sp. BG090815.8.3.1.3.25
Lineage: Eukaryota; Fungi; Ascomycota; Pichiomycetes; Serinales; Debaryomycetaceae
Description: eukaryotic LSU rRNA
Rfam family: 5.8S ribosomal RNA (bases 110-263)
Source: RNAcentral